RNAcentral lists this long non-coding RNA (920 nucleotides) under Homo sapiens (human). RNAcentral's name for it is "HSALNT0383731". The record is from RNAcentral. Lineage: Eukaryota; Metazoa; Chordata; Mammalia; Primates; Hominidae.
GAUCCAGCUCAGGACAGCGGGUUGGAGCGCCAGCAGGGACUUUCUGGACAUUUGAGUCUGGGUCACUUUGUUGUUCAGGAUGGUUCAAAGAAGUUACCCGGUUUCUCAAUAUACCCCGGAUGCACUUGUAGACUUGGUCUCUACCUCCUCUGGUGAGCAGCUCUCCUAGCUCCUAUCACUUACCUAGUUCCGUCAUGGUGUGUCCAGAAUCGGCGGAUUCUUGGUCUCACUGACUUCAAGAACGAAGCCGCGGACCCUGGCGGUGAGUGUUACAGUUUUUAAAGGCAGCGUGUCCCAAGUUUGUUUCUUCUGAUGCUCGCAUGUGUUCGGAGUUUCUUCCUUCUGGCAGAUUCGUGAUCUCGCUGACUUCAGGAGUGAAGCUACGGACCUUCAUCAUGAGUGCUACGGCUCUUAAGGUGGCGUGUUUGGAGUUAUUCGUUUCUCCCGGUGGGUCCGUGAUGUGGCUGGCUUUAAGAACGAAGCUGCAGACCUUCACGAGAGCACAGUGAUCUUCCUUACAAGCGGGAUUCCCGAGAGGAAAAUGUUUGUAAUCAGAUUUGACUCUAGGAUUAAGAGGGCAAGGUGCGACCCUCUUAGUGAACCGGAAAGUAAGCAACGGUACACAAGUGUUCUCACCAGGGACAGCAAAUGGGAGUUGCCAAGAUUACAAGAUCCCAAGACCUCAACUAUUUCACGUGCUGAACUAAACUCAAAACUUUGUGGGAUUUGUUUUAAAUUUCUCAUUGGCAAGUGGUGACUUCCUGCUCUCGCAAGAAAAAAGAUUAAAGGGGUUUGUUUACUGUCUCUGACACAAACAGCUCUUACAACACAUUUUGUACACUUGACAUAAAUGAAAUUUAAUCAAACUGGUCAAAUUCCUUUGGGAGGUGGGGAGAAAAUAAAUCAAUCAGCAAGAAGCA